Molecule: long non-coding RNA, 1869 nt
Organism: Ricinus communis (castor bean)
Lineage: Eukaryota; Viridiplantae; Streptophyta; Magnoliopsida; Malpighiales; Euphorbiaceae
Exons: 2
Source: RefSeq, a predicted model, not a curated record
AAUGUUAGAUUUUUUUAGUUUAAAGAAUUAUUUUUAAGAAAUAAGAUUUUAAUGAAUUUUUUAUUUUUAAAUUUAUAAUAAAGAGUUAGUUUCACGCUCAAAAUUAUAUUUUCAGGGGGCAGGUUGGAAGGAGAACCGUUUGGAAGGGGAUGUGGGUGGAGGCGAUAAAGAUGCCCAUGAUUCGAAUUUGGAUGAAAUGGUUAGAAAGGUUAGCCAUGAUGGAAACAUAAGUUUGAAUGCUACUAUGUUGACUCCAAAACCAAUUUUAUCUGGAAAUGAAAAAGCUCUUGUUGCAGUUGAGCCUAGUGUCUCUAGGCUUGUUUCUCAACUUAAUAGGCCCAUGAAAAAAAGAAAAGAAAUAGAAGAAACAAGGGUGGUAGUUCUGGCUACUAUGUUUGAGGCCUCAUUUCAGAAAGAAAAUAUGGUAGUCAGUGAUUUAAACAAGCAAGAGGCAGGUCUUGUUUGGCAGGCCCGCCUUCACCAAUGAGUUGCCUUGUAUGGAACUGUAGGGGCCUUGGGAACCAGCUUACAGUACGACAAUUACAGUCCCUAGUUAAGGAAAGGCACCCGAUUUUAGUAUUUCUUAUUGAAAUAAUUUGUAAUUCUUCUAAGUUCGACAAAGUUCAAAGCGAGGUGGCGACUUUAAUGAGUUGCUAUUGGAAUCUGAGAAAAGUGGUGGAAGAGCUCAUCCUACUACACUUAUCAAUGCUUUUCAAGAUGCUAUUACAAAUUGUAGUCUUGUUGAUUUGGGGUUUUUGGGGCAUGCAUUUACAUAAGAGAGGGGACGAGGCACGAAUCAUUUUGUUAAGGAAUGUUUAGAUCGUUUUUUAGCUUCACAAGCUUGGCUUUAGAGGUUUCCUCAUUUUUAAGUAUUGCAUUUGCAACCUCCGAUGAGGGACAUUGCCCAAUCUUUUUAUCUUGUGGACUACGGUCAAGUAAUCAAAAUCAGUUUCGUCUUAAGCCGUCUGAGCAGCUUUGGCUACUACAUGAUGACUGUAAAGAAACGAUGAAUGAGGCAUGGCAACGCUUUGCGAGAAGUGGCGAUAUCGUUAAGUGGCUUUCUUCUUAUCUUUCAUAUUUGGAUGUUUAAGAAAGACAUAAAUACUCCCAAUUAUUAAAAGAAAUUGCAGAAUGUAGGGAAAAGAUAACAGUGUUGAAGCAAUCUUCUGGUUCUGAUAAUGAAAGAGGCCAGAUUUUACAUCUGCAAUAGCGUAUGGAUAGCCUUUUGGAGAAAGAGGAAGUGUAUUGGAGGUAAAGGGCUUGAAUUCAAUGGCUUCGUGAGGGAGACUGUAACAACAGAUUUUUUUUCAUCAAGUGGAUUUUUAGAGGAAACGAGGGUAUACCAUUCGUGGACUAUAUGAUGUUGAUGGUUAUUGGGUCUCAGAUGAUAUGAGUAUGGGUAAUAUUGUGCUAAACUAUUUUAACAUUAUUUUCUUCUUAUGGAUAGUGAUGGAUGAUUCAAUUUUUGUUGGAAUGUGGAGUAGAGUGACUGAGAGCCAGAAUUCAGCAUUUCUACAGCCCUUUCAGCAGGUGGAGAUUCAGGAGGCUUUACUACAGAUGGAUCCUCACAAGGCUCCAGGUCCGAACAGUUUAAUAGGUUCCUUUUAUGUCAAUUUUUGGAACAUUGUUAAGAGUGAUGUUUCUUCUACUUGUUUGGCUAUUUUAAAUGGCAUGCCUAUUCCUCCAUGUUUUAAUCAUAUUAAUAUUGUGCUUAUUCCGAAGGUUAAACUCUUGUGCGUAUGAUGGAUUUACAUAUGAUAAGUCUUUGUAAUGUAAUUUAUAAGUUGGUCUCUAAAGUACUAGUGAAUCAUAUGAAAAGUAUCCUGUCGCUUUUAGUAUUAGAAGAACAAAGUGACUUUGUGCCUAGUA